AACGCACAUUGCGCCCCUCGGUAUCCCGGGGGGCAUGCCUGUUCGAGCGUCAUUUCUACCACUCAAGUUUACUUGGUAUUGGGCACUGUGGCCCCCUUUAAAAAGGGGCAACACGCCUUAAAUUUAGCCGGCAGCAAGCACUAGUUCCGAGCGUAGCAGUAAAACAUUUCGCUUUGGGGGCUUUAGAGCAUUGUUCACCGUAUAGUUUACUACAGUUUGACCUCGGAUCAGGCAGGGAUACCCGCUGAACUUAA
RNAcentral lists this unclassified non-coding RNA (254 nucleotides) under uncultured fungus. RNAcentral describes it as "partial contains 5.8S ribosomal RNA, internal transcribed spacer 2, and large subunit ribosomal RNA". The stretch from base 1 to 52 matches the Rfam family "5.8S ribosomal RNA", at positions 103 to 154 of the family's 154-position model. Lineage: Eukaryota; Fungi. The record is from RNAcentral.